RNAcentral lists this ribosomal RNA (499 nucleotides) under uncultured bacterium. Its description in RNAcentral is "partial 16S ribosomal RNA". It matches the Rfam family "Bacterial small subunit ribosomal RNA", at positions 29 to 523 of the family's 1533-position model. The record is from RNAcentral.
AUUGAACGCUGGCGGCAUGCCUAACACAUGCAAGUCGAACGGUAACGCGGGGGCAACCCUGGCGACGAGUGGCGGACGGGCGAGUAAUACGUAGGAAUCUGCCCAUUUGUGGGGGAUAACCCGGCGAAAGCCGGGCUAAUACCGCAUACGCUCUACGGCGGAAAGCAGGGGAUCGUAAGACCUUGCUCUAAUGGUUGAGCCUACGUCGGAUUAGCUAGUUGGUAGGGUAACGGCCUACCAAGGCGACGAUCCGUAGCUGGUCUGAGAGGAAGGUCAGCCACACUGGGAAUGAGAAACGGCCCAGACUCCUACGGGAGGCAGCAGUGGGGAAUAUUGGACAAGGGGGGAAACCCUGUGCAAGCAAGGCGGGGUGUGGGAAGAAGGCCUGCGGGUUGUAAGGCACUUUCAGAGGGGAAGAAAAGAUGGGAGCUAACACCGCCGAGCUUGACGUUACCCUUAGAAGAAGCACCGGCUAACUCCGUGCCAGCCGCCGCCGUAA